CCCAUGUAGCCUGAUAUGAGUUCAUGGAGCUGGAAUUCAAAACACUAACCAGCUGUGGGAACCCAGUGAGAAGCCUGUCACACUGAAUGGUAUCCAGAUUAGAGCUGUGAGAAUUUGGGAAAACCCUUCUCGCUAAGCUCUUUACUCAGAGAAAGGACAACAAGGCCAGCUGGACUUCAGGCCUCAGGCCACACUUGGUUUUCUCAGGUUUCUCUGCACACAAAGGCCCAAAAUAAUUUUCCGUCAUGACCUGGCCAGGAAGUAGAGCCGGCUCUCAGGGUGGCCACUGAAAAUGGGCAUGUGAACUUGGUUAUCUGUCCUUAGUGGGGUCUGUAUCAUCACCCAAUUUGAUUUUCCUAUCCAGAUGGUAUUUUUUUCCUGCUGAGGCAAUGCUUAGGUAGAAG
RNAcentral lists this long non-coding RNA (404 nucleotides) under Mustela putorius furo (domestic ferret). RNAcentral's name for it is "lncRNA (ENSMPUG00000027065.1)". Lineage: Eukaryota; Metazoa; Chordata; Mammalia; Carnivora; Mustelidae. The record is from RNAcentral.